UGAGGAAUAUUGCACAAUGGGCGAAAGCCUGAUGCAGCAACGCCGCGUGAGGGACGAAGGCCUUCGGGUCGUAAACCUCUUCUCUGGGGAAAGAGACAGGACGGUACCUCAGGAAUAAGUCUCGGCUAACUACGUGCCAGCAGCCGCGGUAAAACGUAGGAGGCGAGCGUUAUCCGGAUUUACUGGGCGUAAAGCGCACGCAGGCGGUUCCGUUAGUCGGACGUGAAAGCUCCUGGCUUAACUGGGAGAGGCCGUUCGAUACUGCGGGACUUGAGGUUGGAAGAGGGGUGUGGAAUUCCCGGUGUAGUGGUGGAAUGCGUAGAUAUCGGGAGGAACACCUGUGGCGAAAGCGGCACCCUGGUCCACACCUGACGUUGAGGUGCGAAAGCGUGGGUAGCAAACAG
This 404-nucleotide ribosomal RNA is filed under the name uncultured bacterium. RNAcentral's name for it is "bacterial SSU rRNA". It matches the Rfam family "Bacterial small subunit ribosomal RNA", at positions 355 to 775 of the family's 1533-position model. The record is from RNAcentral.